CGGCGGGCUCGGCUCCGGUCGCGCCGAACGCAGGCGCUCUCUCCGGCCGCUCGCCGGGGGCCGGGACUCGAUGGGGCGGGCGUGACGAGCCCGGCUGGCAGCAGCGUGUCGCGCACAUGUGCCCCCGCGGCGACCGAUGCCAGGUGCGAGGCUGGGGGCAGAGUUUACCGCCGGUCUCUGACGGCUCUGCGGGUUUCCCAGCCCAGGGGGUGUGGGAGGGGUCCUUUCCCAGUUCAGGGCAAAUACCUUCGUUUCACUGGGAAAUUCAACCUCUCCUUGGAGCUGGAUCCAUUAUACGGGUUUAAUAUCCGCUCUUUUACAGCUCAGUGUUGUAAAAGGCAGCAGCCAGGACCAGGAUGCUGGGGAAUGCAGAGCCCAGGAGGGAAGGUGAGACCAAGCAACAGUGAGGACACACAGCAGAAGUAGAUGGGCAAACCUGCAGCACACCUUCACCCUUGGACCUCACUGCACCUCUUCCUAAAGAUAACACAGGAAGAAGAUCACCCCACAUACAAGCAGUUUUUCAUUCCUCACUGCCAGCUGCCAACAGCUUUAACCUCAGUUUACACAUUGUCUAUGCUGCGGUUCUGCAGAAAGCACCGCUCUGCAAACAGGAGAGUGGCAGGGACACCCAGCUGCCCCAGGCCCACCCAGCUCCCCUGUCCCUGGCACCCUGCACUGCUCCACGGGCAGGGGCACACCACAAGCCUGCCCCAGAAUGCAGGUGCCCGACUCCAGCAGGUCUCAGAGCGCCUGCCCACGGAGCCCGACGUCAGCUGGCAGGAGCCCCUUGCCAGCAGAGCCCCCGUGUGCUCCCCAGCCCAGCAGCUGCACUCCCUGCCCAGCCAGAGCCUCCUCUGCCCCGGGGCUGGCAGGGCUCUUCUGGCAGAGAAGAGUCAGGCAUGA
This 906-nucleotide long non-coding RNA is filed under the name Chloebia gouldiae (Gouldian finch). Its description in RNAcentral is "Erythrura gouldiae (Gouldian finch) lncRNA (ENSEGOG00005012431.1)". The record is from RNAcentral. Lineage: Eukaryota; Metazoa; Chordata; Aves; Passeriformes; Passeridae.